This is a long non-coding RNA of Pungitius pungitius (ninespine stickleback), 1386 nucleotides long. RefSeq lists it as uncharacterized. The transcript is spliced from 2 exons. The record is from RefSeq and is a predicted model, not a curated record. NCBI's taxonomy places the organism in Eukaryota, Metazoa, Chordata, Actinopteri, Perciformes, Gasterosteidae.
CUUCCUAUCGCCAAGAUGGUAAUUAUUAAUAGGGAAAUAGCACUAUUACUAUGUUCCGAUGUCUUCUGGCCUUAUACUUACUAUGUGACCAUUUAUCAUUUGGGUUGGCCUGUUUUGGUAAAAUAUAAAAUAUUCCUUGGUGAUAAAGUAUCAUAGGGUUUUUGAACAAUUUGAAUUUAAAAUAUGAAAAGUAAUUUAGACUAUUCUUAAAGGAGGAUAGGCAAACAGAGGUCAACCAUAAAGGAACGGUCAUGUGCACAGAAGUACUGCAAGGCUUUUCUAUUUGUAUUGUAUUUAUUGCUUAUGUUCAUCGAGGACACCACUCACAAAAGUGCUUUCAAAGUAAGUGAUGGCACAAAAUGCACAGUCCUCAGCGUGCUUAAAGAUAUGCGUGGUCAUGCUUGCAGGCUUUCCAAGCAUUAGGAAGUUGUUAGGGAUACAAUACCAUAUUAAACCCACUAAUAUUUCCACUGUUAAAGGUGGUCCAAAAGCCAAAAGAAACCCCUUCGGAGAGGAAAACUGGCCAACUACAAAAAGCCAUGUGAGGCCAUUACGCUUGAAGUAUACAGAUUGACCAGGAAUUGUCUGAUUACGGUAACGCUGCUGCAAAGCUCAUGGAGAGGUGACCUAUCUACAAGCAGAAAUCCUGGAACAAAGAUGUGGCCUCACUCAGACAGCCAACCUUCAAGACCUGCUUUCAAUUUAACAGACGUGGAAAAUGGUAUCCUGAAAGACAGGAUCAGGUAUUCAAAGACGUUUCCUUAGACUGUUUGCCAACUGAAUCAUUUCAUAGCUGACUAAUUCAUUAUUUUUUAGUCACAGACAGGGACAGCAUCAUUGAAAGUCGUCAUGCCUACCUGCUAGCUAACCCUAGUUCACAAGUAGUUCAUUGGGAUCGACAAACAAUACUUUGAGUCACCAGACACUGUUUUAAAGAGCUUUUCAAGCCUCAUUUUGUGUGUGGUACUUCCUACAACCAGUGUCUGGUAAAUGUGUACGACUUCUUUCAAACCACAAUUUAUGAAAUCAAUGUUGAUACAUGGUAAGAAUUUAAGCAGAACAGCACACCUAGCAGAAUAAAUUAUAUGUGAUCAUGACUAGUGUUGGAAUUGUAGUUUGUAGACAUUACUGUACACAUGACCACAAGCCCCGAAUUAAGGUUAUGGCCAACUUUACUUUGUCCCUUUUUUGGCAUGACGAUAUUCACAAACAUAAAAUUGAGCUCCAGUGAAGACAGGACCAAAGAUGGUUUGAGUAGUCAAGAACUGCACAAUUUAUGACCUUGUAUAUUUAAUUUAAAAUGCAUUUAACUUACAGAAAAAUAAAGUCACAUUUUAGUAAAGAAUACAUUUGCAGCCCAUUGUGACAACUUCUAGCAACAUGCCA